Molecule: ribosomal RNA, 443 nt
Filed under: uncultured bacterium
Lineage: Bacteria
Description: partial 16S ribosomal RNA
Rfam family: Bacterial small subunit ribosomal RNA
Source: RNAcentral
AUCAACGCUGGCGGCGCGCUUAACACCUGCAAGUCGCACGAGAAAGGGAGCAAUCCUGAGUAAAGUGGCGUACGGGUGAGUAACACGUGGGAAUCUACCUCUUGGCGGGGAAUAACCCUGGGAAACCGGGGCUAAUACCGCAUAAGCUCGUGAGAGGAAAGCAGCAAUGCACCGAGAGAGGAGCCCGCGGCCGAUUAGCUAGUUGGUGGGGUAAUGGCUCACCAAGGCGAAGAUCGGUAGCCGGCCUGAGAGGGCACACGGCCACACUGGCACUGAAACACGGGCCAGACUCCUACGGGAGGCAGCAGUGGGGAAUCUUGCACAAUGGGGGAAACCCUGAUGCAGCGACGCCGCGUGAGCGAUGAAGCCCUUCGGGGUGUAAAGCUCUUUCGACAGGAACGAUAAUGACGGUACCUGGAGAAGAAGCUGCGGCUAACUACGUG